GCGCAGCUUACCAUGCAGUCGAGCGGUAACAGGGGGUGCUUGCACCCCGCUGACGAGCGGCGGACGGGUGAGUAAUGCAUAGGAAUCUGCCCAGUAGUGGGGGAUAGCCCGGGGAAACCCGGAUUAAUACCGCAUACGCCCUUUGGGGGAAAGCAGGGGAUCUUCGGACCUUGCGCUAUUGGAUGAGCCUAUGUCGGAUUAGCUAGUUGGUGGGGUAAAGGCCUACCAAGGCGACGAUCCGUAGCUGGUCUGAGAGGAUGAUCAGCCACAUCGGGACUGAGACACGGCCCGAACUCCUACGGGAGGCAGCAGUGGGGAAUAUUGGACAAUGGGGGCAACCCUGAUCCAGCCAUGCCGCGUGUGUGAAGAAGGCUUUCGGGUUGUAAAGCACUUUCAGUGAGGAGGAAAACCUUCUGGUUAAUACCCAUGAGGCUUGACGUUACUCACAGAAGAAGCACCGGCUAACUCCGUGCCAGCAGCCGCGGUAAUACGGAGGGUGCAAGCGUUAAUCGGAAUUACUGGGCGUAAAGCGCGCGUAGGUGGUUUGAUAAGCGAGAUGUGAAAGCCCCGGGCUUAACCUGGGAACGGCAUUUCGAACUG
RNAcentral lists this ribosomal RNA (600 nucleotides) under Marinobacter sp. RNAcentral's name for it is "bacterial SSU rRNA". It matches the Rfam family "Bacterial small subunit ribosomal RNA", at positions 44 to 635 of the family's 1533-position model. The record is from RNAcentral. Lineage: Bacteria; Pseudomonadati; Pseudomonadota; Gammaproteobacteria; Pseudomonadales; Marinobacteraceae.